GAAGUAAGCGAGGCAAUCGCCGGCGCAGGGCCGAAAGGUCGCGCGGGAGGAAAGUCCGAGCUCUAUAGGGCAGGGUGCUGGGUAACCCCCAGUGGGAGCGAUCCUAAGGAAAGUGCCACAGACAUGGAGACCGCCGAUGGCCGUGCUACGCACGGAUCAGGCAAGGAUGCAACGGUGCGGUAAGAGCGCACCAGCGACGCGGAGACGCGUCGGCUAGGUAAACCCCACCUGGAGCAAGACCGCAUAGGAGCGCACGUGUGGCGGCCCGUCACGCGCUCGGGUAGGUUGCUUGAGCGGCAUGGAGACAUGUCGCCUAGAUAGAUGAUUGCCGCCUCGACUCGUGCGAGGCAAGGACGGUUUGGCGCGCGACUCUCGAGAUCGCACGCGAGACACUUGCCGCUUGCAGCACGUGAGGAGACAGAACUCGGCUUAUUGCUUGCUUCACUU
This 447-nucleotide RNase P RNA is filed under the name Bacillota bacterium. RNAcentral describes it as "RNase P RNA component class A". It matches the Rfam family "Bacterial RNase P class A". From Rfam's summary of the family: Ribonuclease P (RNase P) is a ubiquitous endoribonuclease, found in archaea, bacteria and eukarya as well as chloroplasts and mitochondria. Its best characterised activity is the generation of mature 5'-ends of tRNAs by cleaving the 5'-leader elements of precursor-tRNAs. Lineage: Bacteria; Bacillati; Bacillota. The record is from RNAcentral.